UACGAAGGGGGCUAGCGUUGCUCGGAAUUACUGGGCGUAAAGCGCACGUAGGCGGCUCUUUAAGUCGGGGGUGAAAUCCUGGAGCUCAACUCCAGAACUGCCUUCGAUACUGUAGAGCUUGAGUUCGGGAGAGGUGAGUGGAACUGCGAGUGUAGAGGUGAAAUUCGUAGAUAUUCGCAAGAACACCAGUGGCGAAGGCGGCUCACUGGCCCGAUACUGACGCUGAGACGCGAAAGCGUGGGGAGCGAACAGG
RNAcentral lists this ribosomal RNA (253 nucleotides) under uncultured bacterium. Its description in RNAcentral is "partial 16S ribosomal RNA". It matches the Rfam family "Bacterial small subunit ribosomal RNA", at positions 524 to 776 of the family's 1533-position model. The record is from RNAcentral.